GCACCCGUAGCUCAGCUGGAUAGAGUACAAGCCUCCGACGCUUGGGGUCACAGGUUCGAAUCCUGUCGGGUGCACCA
RNAcentral lists this transfer RNA (77 nucleotides) under Pseudomonadota bacterium. RNAcentral describes it as "Proteobacteria bacterium (freshwater metagenome) tRNA-Arg". It matches the Rfam family "tRNA". Rfam says of the family: Transfer RNA (tRNA) molecules are approximately 80 nucleotides in length. Their secondary structure includes four short double-helical elements and three loops (D, anti-codon, and T loops). Further hydrogen bonds mediate the characteristic L-shaped molecular structure. tRNAs have two regions of fundamental functional importance: the anti-codon, which is responsible for specific mRNA codon recognition, and the 3' end, to which the tRNAs corresponding amino acid is attached (by aminoacyl-tRNA synthetases). tRNAs cope with the degeneracy of the genetic code in two manners: having more than one tRNA (with a specific anti-codon) for a particular amino acid; and 'wobble' base-pairing, i.e. permitting non-standard base-pairing at the 3rd anti-codon position. The record is from RNAcentral. Lineage: Bacteria; Pseudomonadati; Pseudomonadota.